AUUGAACGCUGGCGGCAGGCCUAACACAUGCAAGUCGAGCGGAUGAAGGGAGCUUGCUCCUGGAUUCAGCGGCGGACGGGUGAGUAAUGCCUAGGAAUCUGCCUGGUAGUGGGGGAUAACGUCCGGAAACGGGCGCUAAUACCGCAUACGUCCUGAGGGAGGAAGUGGGGGAUCUUCGGACCUCACGCUAUCAGAUGAGCCUAGGUCGGAUUAGCUAGUUGGUGGGUAAAGGCCUACCAAGGCGACGAUCCGUAACUGGUCUGAGAGGAUGAUCAGUCACACUGGAACUGAGACACGGUCCAGACUCCUACGGGAGGCAGCAGUGGGGAAUAUUGGACAAUGGGCGAAAGCCUGAUCCAGCCAUGCCGCGUGUGUGAAGAAGGUCUUCGGAUUGUAAAGCACUUUAAGUUGGGAGGAAGGGCAGUAAGUUAAUACCUUGCUGUUUUGACGUUACCAACAGAAUAAGCACCGGCUAACUUCGUG
This 483-nucleotide ribosomal RNA is filed under the name uncultured bacterium. RNAcentral's name for it is "partial 16S ribosomal RNA". It matches the Rfam family "Bacterial small subunit ribosomal RNA", at positions 30 to 507 of the family's 1533-position model. The record is from RNAcentral.